UACGUAGGGUGCGAGCGUUAAUCGGAAUUACUGGGCGUAAAGUGUGCGCAGGCGGCAGAGCAAGUCGAGUGUGAAAGCCCCGGGCUUAACUUGGGAAUUGCGCUCGAAACUACUUUGCUGGAGUGUGGCAGAGGAAGGUGGAAUUCCACGUGUAGCGGUGAAAUGCGUAGAGAUGUGGAGGAACACCAACGGCGAAGGCAGCCUUCUGGGCCAACACUGACGCUCAUGCACGAAAGCGUGGGGAGCAAACAGG
This 253-nucleotide ribosomal RNA is filed under the name uncultured bacterium. Its description in RNAcentral is "partial 16S ribosomal RNA". It matches the Rfam family "Bacterial small subunit ribosomal RNA", at positions 524 to 776 of the family's 1533-position model. The record is from RNAcentral.